GAUGGAGUCUUCAUCUGUUCAGCUGCUAUAACAAAGACCCAAUGACUGGGCACCUUAUAAAAUACAGAAAUUUAUUUCUCACAGUUCUGGAGGCUGGAAGCCCAAGAUCGGAAGGCCAGGCCGGUCCGUUUCUGAUGAGAACCCUCUCCUAGGUUACAGACUGCUGCUGACUCCUUGUAUCCUCGAGUGGCAGAGAGCAGGGAGAGGAAGCAAGCGCUCUUGGGACUCUAACAAGCAAGAUGAACUGCCUUAGGACAAAAGGGCCCACGGACACGCAGCCAGGAGCCAAGAAGGGGAGAAGGUGGAAGGCACCAGGGCGUUGGUGCUGGCCACACGGUGUUGACAUUGCAGGCCCGGGGAGUGGCUGUGCCGAGGCCUCGGAGAAGGAAGACGCUGUGGUGUGUCACCAAGGAUGGGGCAGUGGGGUUGAAGUCUUGAAGAACAAACAACCGUUUCCUAGGCGGGUAAGAAAGUUCAUUGCCCAAGAUGUCUCAAUAUUGAGAAGUCAGCUACCAGACAGCAGAUGUGAAUGGAAAGGCCCAGAUCUCUGCCUCUGUUGGAAACGUUUCCUUCCAAACCACCACUCUGCUUGCUUGCUUGAAACCUCGCUGCAUUGCCAGGAAAUCAAGUCCGGGCCUGCCUGCAGGUGGACGAGAGACUACACAGGGCACAGGUGAACCAUCCCAGCUGCGGCCACCCUGACCCACCAGUGUCCAACCAAACCAGCAGCUGACCACAGACACGUGAGUGAACCUGGCCAAGACCAGAAGAACCGCCUAGCUGAGCCCGGA
Long non-coding RNA from Eptesicus fuscus (big brown bat), 791 nucleotides. RefSeq lists it as uncharacterized. Lineage: Eukaryota; Metazoa; Chordata; Mammalia; Chiroptera; Vespertilionidae. The record is from RefSeq and is a predicted model, not a curated record. The transcript is spliced from 3 exons.